This 501-nucleotide ribosomal RNA is filed under the name uncultured bacterium. RNAcentral describes it as "partial 16S ribosomal RNA". It matches the Rfam family "Bacterial small subunit ribosomal RNA", at positions 28 to 507 of the family's 1533-position model. The record is from RNAcentral.
GACGAACGCUGGCGGCGUGCCUAAUACAUGCAAGUCGGGCGGACCGACCGAGGGCUUGCUCCUGUUUGGUCAGCGGCGGACGGGAGAGUAAAACGUGGGCAACCUGCCCGCAAGACCGGGAUAACUCCGGGAAACCGAAGCUAAUACCGGAUAACACCGGAGACCGCAUGGUCUUCGGAUGAAAGGCGGCCUUUGGGCUGUCACUUGCGGAUGGGCCCGCGGCGCGUUAGCGAGUGGGCGAGGUCAUGGCUGACCAAGGCGACGAUGCGUAGCCCGCCGGAUAGGGGGAGCGGCCACACUGGGACUGAGACACGGCCCAGAGGCCUACGGGAGGCAGCAGUAGGGAAUCGUCCGCAAUGGGCGAAAGCCUGACGGAGCGACGCGGCGUGCGCGAAGAAGGCCUUCGGGUCGGAAAGCACUGUUGUGGGGGACGAAGGAGCGCCGUGCGAAGAGGGCGGGGCAGUGACGGUACCUGACGAGAAAGCCCCGGCUAACUACGUG